RNAcentral lists this ribosomal RNA (301 nucleotides) under uncultured bacterium. RNAcentral describes it as "partial 16S ribosomal RNA". It matches the Rfam family "Archaeal small subunit ribosomal RNA", at positions 459 to 759 of the family's 1478-position model. The record is from RNAcentral.
CAGCCGCCACGGUAAUACCAGCAGCCCAAGUGGUGGUCGCGAUUAUUGGGCCUAAAGCGCUCGUAGCCGGGCCGGUAAGUCCCUUGUGAAAUCGGACGGCCUAGCCGUUCGGCGUGCAAGGGAUACUGUCGGUCUUGAGGCCGGGAGACGUCCGAGGUACUCCGGGGGUAGCGGUGAAAUGUUCUAAUCCUCGGGGGACCACCGGUGGCGAAGGCGUUCGACGAGAACGGGCCUGACGGUGAGGGGCGAAGGCUAGGGGAGCAAACGGGAUUAGAUACCCGCGUAGUCCCUGUCUCUUAUA